GGCGGCAGGCCUAACACAUGCACGUCGAGCGAGACCUUCGGGUCUAGCGGCGGACGGGUUAGUAACGCGUGGGAACGUACCCUUUUCUACGGAAUAGCCUUUGGAAACGAAGAGUAAUACCGUAUACGCCCUUCGGGGGAAAGAUUUAUCGGAGAAGGAUCGGCCCGCGUUAGAUUAGAUAGUUGGUGGGGUAAUGGCCUACCAAGUCUACGAUCUAUAGCUGGUUUUAGAGGAUGAUCAGCAACACUGGGACUGAGACACGGCCCAGACUCCUACGGGAGGCAGCAUUGGGGAAUCUUAGACAAUGGGCGCAAGCCUGAUCUAGCCAUGCCGCGUGAGUGAAGAAGGCCUUAGGGUCGUAAAGCUCUUUCGCCAGGGAUGAUAAUGACAGUACCUGGUAAAGAAACCCCGGCUAACUCCGUGCCAGCAGCCGCGGUAAUACGGAGGGGGUUAAGCGUUGUUCGGAAUUACUGGGCGUAAAGCGCACUUAAGGCGGAUUAGAAAGUUAGAGGUGAAAUCCCAGGGCUCAACCCUUGGAACUGCCUUUAAAACUCCUAG
This 558-nucleotide ribosomal RNA is filed under the name uncultured Roseobacter NAC1-9. RNAcentral's name for it is "bacterial SSU rRNA". It matches the Rfam family "Bacterial small subunit ribosomal RNA", at positions 38 to 639 of the family's 1533-position model. The record is from RNAcentral. Lineage: Bacteria; Pseudomonadati; Pseudomonadota; Alphaproteobacteria; Rhodobacterales; Roseobacteraceae.